UGAAGCACGAAAGCCAGGCGAGCGAACGGGAAUAGAUACCCCGGUAGUCCUGGCCGGAAACGUUGAACACUCGAUGUCGGGGGUAUCGACCCCCUCGGUGUCGGAGCUAACGCGUUAAGUGUUCCGCCUGGGGAGUACGACCGCAAGGUUGAUACUCAAAGGAAUUGACGGGGGCCCGCACAAGCGGUGGAGGAUGUGGUUUAAUUCGACGCAACGCGAAGAACCUUACCUGGGCUUAAACCGCAGGGUAAACCCUCUGAAAGGAGGGCUGCUUCGGCAAUCCUGUAGAGGUGCUGCAUGGCUGUCGUCAGCUCGUGUCGUGAGAUGUUGGGUUAAGUCCCGCAACGAGCGCAACCAUUGCUCUUAGUUACCAGCGCGUAAUGNCGCGCACUCUAAGAGGACUGCCCUCGCAAGCGGGAGGAAGUNGGCGAUGACGUCAAGUCCUCAUGGCACCUUAUGUCCAGGGCUACACACGUCAUACAAUGCACGGUACAAAGGGCUGCAAGCUCGCGAGAGUAGCUNAAUCCCAAAAGCCCGGUCACAGUUCGGAUNGCAGUCUGCAACUCGACUGCAUGA
Molecule: ribosomal RNA, 576 nt
Filed under: uncultured organism
Description: bacterial SSU rRNA
Rfam family: Bacterial small subunit ribosomal RNA
Source: RNAcentral